RNAcentral lists this long non-coding RNA (232 nucleotides) under Lathyrus oleraceus (garden pea). RNAcentral's name for it is "Pisum sativum (pea) long non-coding RNA (PSAT_LNC001493)". The record is from RNAcentral. Lineage: Eukaryota; Viridiplantae; Streptophyta; Magnoliopsida; Fabales; Fabaceae.
ACCGUGGUAUCACGUGCCAUGCUGAUGACAUGAUGGCAAAGUCCCAAGCAGGGAAGGGCAUCCGAUGAACUUGAUCAAGUUGUUUGACGGGUUGAGAUAACUCAUACUGAUGAGUUCGAGUGAGUGCACUUGUGGAGUGCUGUCCGGUAAGCUGCCGAGGUUUAUUGUGAGCGGAUAAGAGGAAUCGAGGUCGAUCCUGCUAAAAAAAAAAGAAGUGUAAGAAACGCCUGAA